This 250-nucleotide ribosomal RNA is filed under the name uncultured bacterium. RNAcentral describes it as "partial 16S ribosomal RNA". It matches the Rfam family "Bacterial small subunit ribosomal RNA", at positions 524 to 771 of the family's 1533-position model. The record is from RNAcentral.
UACAGAGGUGCCAAGCGUUAGGCGGAAUCACUGGGCUUAAAGCGCGCGCGAGGCGAUGUUUAAGUGUCUUGUGAAAUCCCACGGCUCAACCGUGGAACUGCUGGGCAUACUGGACAUCUUGAGGCACUCAAGGGCGAGCGGAACAAGUGGUGGAGCGGUGAAAUGCGUAGAUAUCACUUGGAACGCCAAUGGUGAAGACAGCCUCGCUGGGGGUGUCCUGACGCUGAGGCGCGGAAAGCCAGGGGAGCGA